GAUACUUUAAACACCCAAUUGAUUUUAUCAGCAAAACAUUUCAUACUUGAGUCAUUGGCUCAUUGCCCAUUAAUGGAGUGUUUUUUUUCGAAUUUUUAACCCAGAUUGAAGUUCCCUUCAUUGUUCUUUCGAAUCAGUCAGUGUUGUGGAUUUAACUAUAAUCAUAAACACCCAAUCGAUUAUCUUUUAUCAUUUUUGAGCUCUGAAAUAACCUAUAGUUAAAGAAUCUCAUUAAUGGAGACUCGAACGGUUAUCAAUAAUGGAGGAUUUUGAAGUUUUCCACCAAAACCUUCUUCUAUUCGGAAUUUUUCAAUAGGAAAGCACCAUUUCUCAAGGCAAUAUGGUAGUGCCAUUAUCUAUGAGCAGCAAUAUCUAUAGAUGCAUACCAAUUUUUUAAAUGUUUCUCCCACAAAAUGAUCAAUUGAACAUCUUUCGAAGAACUGCGGUCAGCCAUACUGCAAAUGCAGUUGGAAGAACCCGUUCGACGAUGCAAUUCAAAGUAACUCGGAGAAAAAAUUGACUGAACAAUGUUGAAGCUUAACAAAGAAUAAGAGCUUCGUCCAAGAGAUUGCAUUUUAAUUAUGAAUUUGAUCAUACUAUGGAUGCUCUUCUUCCUGUUGAGACAACAGGUAUAGUUUUAAUCAAUAAUCUUACAUGCUUUCAUGAUUUUGUUGCGGAUACCUUGCAAAAUUAGUUGUAGGAACAAGUGUUUCUAUUAUUUGUAGUUUUAUUUAAAGAAGACCCUAACGACUAUUCUUUUCUUUACUUUUUUAACAAUAAUAAUCUAUUCAUAUUAUAUUUUCUACCGUGA
Solanum stenotomum is the source of this 811-nucleotide long non-coding RNA. RefSeq lists it as uncharacterized. The transcript is spliced from 4 exons. NCBI's taxonomy places the organism in Eukaryota, Viridiplantae, Streptophyta, Magnoliopsida, Solanales, Solanaceae. The record is from RefSeq and is a predicted model, not a curated record.